This 404-nucleotide ribosomal RNA is filed under the name uncultured bacterium. Its description in RNAcentral is "partial 16S ribosomal RNA". It matches the Rfam family "Bacterial small subunit ribosomal RNA", at positions 30 to 525 of the family's 1533-position model. The record is from RNAcentral.
AUUGAACGCUGGCGGCAGGCUUAACACAUGCAAGUCGAACGAGUGGCGGACGGGUGAGUAAUGCUUGGGCAUCUGGCUUAUGGAGGGGGAUAACUACGGGAAACUGUAGCUAAUACCGCGUACCAUAGUAUGAGCCCAAGUGGGAUUAGGUAGUUGGUGAGGUAAAGGCUCACCAAGCCGACGAUCUCUAGCUGGUCUGAGAGGAUGCCAGGCCACACGGGGACUGAGAAACGGCCCAGACUCCUACGGGAGGCAGCAGGGGGGAAUUUUGCGCAAUGGGGGCAACCUGACGCAGCCCUGCCGGGUGAAGGAAGAGGGCCUUCGGGUUGUAAAGUUCUUUCGGUAGCGAGGCGUUAACUACAGAAGAAGCACCGGCUAACUCCGUGCCAGCAGCCGCGGUAAUA